This 605-nucleotide ribosomal RNA is filed under the name uncultured Alphaproteobacteria bacterium. RNAcentral's name for it is "partial 16S ribosomal RNA". The record is from RNAcentral. Lineage: Bacteria; Pseudomonadati; Pseudomonadota; Alphaproteobacteria.
CAACGCGUUGGGAGCUCUCCCAUAUGGUCGACCUGCAGGCGGCCGCGAAUUCACUAGUGAUUCGUAUUACCGCGGCUGCUGGCACGAAGUUAGCCGGGGCUUCUUCUGCGGGUACCGUCAUUAUCGUCCCCGCCGAAAGAGCUUUACAACCCUAGGGCCUUCAUCACUCACGCGGCAUGGCUGGAUCAGGGUUGCCCCCAUUGUCCAAUAUUCCCCACUGCUGCCUCCCGUAGGAGUCUGGCCCGUGUUUCAGUGCCAGUGUGGCCGUGUGCCCUCUCAGGCCGGCUACCGAUCUUCGCCUUGGUGGGCCAUUACCCCGCCAACUAGCUAAUCAGCCGCGGACUCCUCUUCCAGCGCAUUGCUGCUUUCCUCUUACGAGCUUAUGCGGUAUUGUCCCCAGUUUCCCGGGGGUAUUCCCCACUAGAAGGUAGAUGAUCCACGUGUUACUCACCCGUACGCCACUUUACUCACAGUAUUGCUACUGCUUUCUCGUGCGACUUGCAUGUGUUAAGCGCGCCGCCAGCGUUGAUUCUGAGCCAUGAUCAAACUCUAAUCGAAUUCCCGCGGCCGCCAUGGCGGCCGGGAGCAUGCGACGUCGGGCCCAA